CCCUUAGAUGUCCUGGGCCGCACGCGCGCUACACUGACAUGUUCAACAAGCCUCCUAGUUCGACAGGAUUUGGGAAAUCUUUGAACGCAUGUCGUGAUAGGGAUAGAUCAUUGCAAUUAUUGAUCUUGAACGAGGAAUUCCUAGUAAACGCGAGUCAUCAGCUCGCAUUGAUUACGUCCCUGCCCCUUGUACACACCGCCCGUCGCACCUACCGAUUGAAUGUUUCGGUGAAGAUUCCGGAUAGGACUUUUUUGAUUUAUUUCAAUUCUGUCUUAAAAGCUAUCUAAACCUCAACAUUUAGAGGAAGGUGAAGUCGUAACA
RNAcentral lists this ribosomal RNA (321 nucleotides) under uncultured eukaryote. RNAcentral's name for it is "partial 18S ribosomal RNA". It matches the Rfam family "Eukaryotic small subunit ribosomal RNA", at positions 1470 to 1796 of the family's 1831-position model. The record is from RNAcentral.